GACGGGUGCAAGCGUUGUGGGCCACAAUGGUUCAGCGUGAGCAAGCGGUAGUCUCCCACCGGAUAAGCCACCAUGCCACGCGUGUCUGGUGUAUGUGGGUUUGGCUGUGCGCGUGUCCUCUCAUGGGGGCAGCCACUCCGUUCAGCUCUGGCGAUUUGGAUCCGCUGUAGUGUUGUUCUGGCCGUCGGUGCUGCUUUCCCCGGCUGCUUCUUGGGCGGAGGAGGUUCCGGCCGUCGGUGCUGCUUUCCCCGGCUGCUUCUUGGGCGGAGGAGGUUUCGGCCGUCGGUGCUGCUUUCCCCGGCUGCUUCUUGGGCGGAGGAGGGAGCUCGGUCCAUCUGUUUGCCCAGCCGCCCGGAUCCAUGGGGGACAUGUCCACGAUUCAACGCCCACCCGCCGUUGUCACCAAGGGCAUAUUUCCAACAGGUAUGUGGCGACAUCAAGCAGAGUCAUCGUUGAUAAAUGGAUCUGUUUAAGAUUGUUUGAUGUCAGGUAUGGACUUCAAUCAUAUAGUAAAAAGGCAAUAGGAGAGACAUGAAACACAAUUUGGCCCUAAAGCAUAUGCUAACAAUGGGGUGUUACUGAUAAGCAACCUUGUUUUGGUAUAUGUGAGACAAGUUGUUUCAUAUAGUUCUAAGCAUGUUUCUAUAAACUGUUGUAAUUAGGCUAGGGUAAUUUAUAAAGAUGAUUGCCAUAGAACAUAAUUACUCUCUCUGUACACUAAUAUAAGACAUUUUUGCAGUUCAAUUUAAACUGCAAAAACGUCUUAUGUUAGUGUAAAAGGGAGUAUGAUAUAGAUGAAGUAAACACUGCAUUUUCAUACAGAAAUAGUGACAUUAUGAUUGAACAUAGAUUCAAAGGCGAUAAAUCAUUACUACCGACAAUACUUCAUUGUGCGCCCAUAAUCCACAAAAUCAGAAGUAAACGCAUGCUCAAUAGUCUUAAUCCCAAUGAUAGAUUUAAGGGAAAUGACGCACAUGGGUAGCGUUGGAGGAGGCACCCAUAUUUCCAUGAGCAUAUAUUCGACUUUGCGCUCAGCAUCGGUAAUAAGUCUUGCCCUUGAUGCAAUAAUAGCCUUGGCAAUAUUCUAGUUGUAUUCGUCCAUAUCAUCCACCGGCACAUCACUUUCGGUGGUAUCAUCUUCCUCUAGGUUGUCACUAUUGCCAAUUUCACUUAAUACAAUAGCAAAGAACACUUUGUUAGUUGCAAAA
Aegilops tauschii subsp. strangulata is the source of this 1208-nucleotide non-coding RNA. The record is from RefSeq and is a predicted model, not a curated record. NCBI's taxonomy places the organism in Eukaryota, Viridiplantae, Streptophyta, Magnoliopsida, Poales, Poaceae.